Molecule: long non-coding RNA, 495 nt
Filed under: Linum usitatissimum (flax)
Lineage: Eukaryota; Viridiplantae; Streptophyta; Magnoliopsida; Malpighiales; Linaceae
Description: long non-coding RNA (LUSI_LNC004510)
Source: RNAcentral
GCAAUGAACAAAGACAUUUGCAAUUGCACAAAAUUACUUUCAUGCAUAACUACAUUUGCAUGCAAUGACAUAAAUCGCUUCCGUGCAUGAGACGAAAUAGAAUUGCUUCCAUGCAUGCAAAACACAAUUCCAUACAAAACCGUAGAAUUGUUUGAGCAACCACAACAUAUAAGUAUUCCUUACGAUUAAAUUGCAUAGAUGGACGGACUUGCGUCUUUCAACGGCUUACGUGCCCAAUAGAAUUGGGAUCAAAGUCUACGUAAUUUGAGAUUGCGUACGUUUCACUAAAGUGCAUAGAUGGCUUCCGAAUAUGUUAACUCAAACUUCAAUGCUCCGUCUCGAAUGUUGAUAACCCUCUAACUCACUGAUUGACUAAACCAAGUCGUGUCCUGAAUUAUAGUAUAGUCGUGUACGAAUACACUUUCCGUAAAGAAUAUUUCUACCAUUUUCCAAAGCCUAAGGUCACAAGUAAUUUCUUCGUAGGAUAAAACUACC